GACGAACGCUGGCGGCGUGCUUAACACAUGCAAGUCGAACGGUGAAGGCGGAGCUUGCUCUGCCGGAUCAGUGGCGAACGGGUGAGUAACACGUGGGCAACCUGCCCCUCACUUCGGGAUAACUCCGGGAAACCGGGGCUAAUACCGGAUACGACCUCCUUGGGCAGCUUUGGAGGUGGAAAGUUUUUCGGUGAGGGAUGGGCCCGCGGCCUAUCAGCGUGUUGGUGAGGUAGUGGCUCACCAAGGCGACGACGGGUAGCCGGCCUGAGAGGGCGACCGGCCACACUGGGACUGAGACACGGCCCAGACUCCUACGGGAGGCAGCAGUGGGGAAUAUUGCGCGAUGGGCGAAAGCCUGACGCAGCAACGCCGCGUGCGGGAUGAAGGCCUUCGGGUUGUAAACCGCUUUCAGCAGGGAAGAAGCCGCAAGGUGACGGUACCUGCAGAAGAAGCACCGGCUAACUACGUGCCAGCCGCCGCAGUAA
Molecule: ribosomal RNA, 485 nt
Filed under: uncultured bacterium
Lineage: Bacteria
Description: partial 16S ribosomal RNA
Rfam family: Bacterial small subunit ribosomal RNA
Source: RNAcentral